GGCGACAUAGCCAAGUGUUAAGGCAAAGGUCUGCAGAACCUUGAUCCCCUGGUUCAAAUCCGGGUGUCGCCUCCA
This 75-nucleotide transfer RNA is filed under the name Allolucifera butyrica. Its description in RNAcentral is "Lucifera butyrica tRNA". It matches the Rfam family "tRNA". Rfam says of the family: Transfer RNA (tRNA) molecules are approximately 80 nucleotides in length. Their secondary structure includes four short double-helical elements and three loops (D, anti-codon, and T loops). Further hydrogen bonds mediate the characteristic L-shaped molecular structure. tRNAs have two regions of fundamental functional importance: the anti-codon, which is responsible for specific mRNA codon recognition, and the 3' end, to which the tRNAs corresponding amino acid is attached (by aminoacyl-tRNA synthetases). tRNAs cope with the degeneracy of the genetic code in two manners: having more than one tRNA (with a specific anti-codon) for a particular amino acid; and 'wobble' base-pairing, i.e. permitting non-standard base-pairing at the 3rd anti-codon position. The record is from RNAcentral. Lineage: Bacteria; Bacillati; Bacillota; Negativicutes; Veillonellales; Veillonellaceae.